Molecule: transfer RNA, 73 nt
Filed under: Caudoviricetes sp.
Lineage: Duplodnaviria; Heunggongvirae; Uroviricota; Caudoviricetes
Description: tRNA-Lys
Rfam family: tRNA
About the family: Transfer RNA (tRNA) molecules are approximately 80 nucleotides in length. Their secondary structure includes four short double-helical elements and three loops (D, anti-codon, and T loops).
Source: RNAcentral
GGAUCAUUAGCUCAGUUGGCAGAGCACCUGACUCUUAAUCAGGGUGUCCGGGGUUCGAACCCCUGAUGAUCCA